CGGCAAGAGCUCAAAUUUGAAAUCUGGCCCCUCUGGGGUCCGAGUUGUAAUUUGCAGAGGAUGCUUCGGGUGCGGUCCCCGUCUAAGUGCCCUGGAACGGGCCGUCAUAGAGGGUGAGAAUCCCGUCU
This 128-nucleotide ribosomal RNA is filed under the name Talaromyces sp. RNAcentral describes it as "partial large subunit ribosomal RNA". It matches the Rfam family "Eukaryotic large subunit ribosomal RNA", at positions 99 to 226 of the family's 3401-position model. Lineage: Eukaryota; Fungi; Ascomycota; Eurotiomycetes; Eurotiales; Trichocomaceae. The record is from RNAcentral.